RNAcentral lists this unclassified non-coding RNA (1408 nucleotides) under Melitaea cinxia (Glanville fritillary). RNAcentral describes it as "misc RNA ENSMCXG00005001415.1". Lineage: Eukaryota; Metazoa; Arthropoda; Insecta; Lepidoptera; Nymphalidae. The record is from RNAcentral.
CAGGAAUUAAAUUUUAUAUUUACAGAAGACAUGUGUUCUUGAUAAAUAUUCAAAUAAAAUUUUGAAAUAAUGACAAAGAAUUACAUUAUUUUUUAACUUAUAUACAUAUUGGCCACUAUUCAAUGUUAUUUACUUGCAAUCUUAACGAUUUUUCUUUUUCUAUUUGAAAACGCAAACUUUUUUUAUAACUUAUCAAGAUCAAAUAUACAAAUACAUGAUUUAAAUUUCAAUUUCAUUUAGCGCCAUACAUUCAAUUUCAAAAUGCAAGUCAUUUAACUACUCAACAAGAUAUAUACAAUACACAUUGUAACAAUAUUUAUGUAGAAUUAGUUAGUAGUAUAUUUUGACCUGUUUAAUCCAUUUUGUGUCUUACAAAAAUAAUAUGUAGUUUAAAUAGUUUCGAGUACAAAACUUUACUGAGAUACCUUGAUAUGGUAUGUUUAUGUGAAUAUUUCGACUGUUUUCACGGAUUUGACUAGGAUUAUACCGUUUUUUAUCAUUGAUGAAAGACAUUAUUUAAAAAAAAUAGAUAUAUAGCUGCUUAGUACGCUAGGAACCGUGUUUGUUAGGAGAAGAUAUACAAAUAUAUCGUGUAUAAGUAUCAUGAAUAAGUUCUUUACGGGGAAUUUUUUGCUGUAUUAUACGAGGACCGCACAGUUCAAUCAUUACACUUCUUUAUCAUAUAUCAAUUAAUUUAUAUUGUUACUAUUUGAUAUAACUGUUAUGAGUGAUUCGCUAAUAUCACCAUAGUUUUGCCAUAGUAAUUAUUUUUGUUAAUUUCGACUAAAACAAUUACUUAAUUUAAAAACUUUCGUCAUGUUUAAUUCACACCGUUGACUAAAAAGUUACAUUAUUACACUAUACAAUAUAUUUAUAUAAUACUUGAACAUAAUUUCGAAUAAUUAAUCUAUUGUGUGUAUUAAGAUAGAUUUAAAUAAGAAAAUGUUAUUAUUUAAUUCAACUAGUCAUUAACGAACAUUAACGUAACUACAAAAGUAGAGAGUAUUCUAUAUAAAUCAAGACUGGUACUGGUCUAGGGGGGGGGGGGGGGGGUUCACUACAUUUAAAUGCCUAUACACAAUGUACUUAACUUGUGAUACUUAUUCUACAUAUAGAAAAAAGUACCAUAAGAUAAAUUGCUUGAUGUGGUUGACGAGUUGAAUUAUUGAGGAGUAAGGAGAGGGGAGAAAUGAGUGUGGAGGACAGUGGGGGAAGUGGGGAGGAGUGAGGAGUAGGGAGUGGCUUAUGGGGUUAAGCGAUAAGACAGUCUCAGGAGGGCGCGUCGUGUCAGAAGUAGAUGACCUCCUCCUCGGGGGCGGGGGAGGCGUGGGGCGUGGCCGCGUGCGUGGGCGUGUCUGCCGGCCGGAUGCGGAACUUGUCCGGUAGCUUGGGGUAAGUGUUUGUCCUA